ACUCCUGCGGGAGGCAGCAGUGGGGAAUUUUGGACAAUGGGCGAAAGCUUGAUCCAGCAAUGCCGCGUGUGUGAAGAAGGCCUUCGGGUUGUAAAGCACUUUUGUCCGGAAAGAAAUCCUUGGCUCUAAUACAGUCGGGGGAUGACGGUACCGGAAGAAUAAGCACCGGCUAACUACGUGCCAGCAGCCGCGGUAAUACGUAGGGUGCGAGCGUUAAUCGGAAUUACUGGGCGUAAAGCGUGCGCAGGCGGUUUGCUAAGACCGAUGUGAAAUCCCCGGGCUCAACCUGGGAACUGCAUUGGGGACUGGCAGGCUAGAGUAUGGCAGAGGGGGGUAGAAUUCCACGUGUAGCAGUGAAAUGCGUAGAGAUGUGGAGGAAUACCGAUGGCGAAGGCAGCCCCCUGGGCCAAUACUGACGCUCAUGCACGAAAGCGUGGGGAGCAAACAGGAUUAGAAACCCCGGUAGUCCC
This 470-nucleotide ribosomal RNA is filed under the name uncultured organism. Its description in RNAcentral is "partial 16S ribosomal RNA". It matches the Rfam family "Bacterial small subunit ribosomal RNA", at positions 335 to 797 of the family's 1533-position model. The record is from RNAcentral.